Molecule: ribosomal RNA, 323 nt
Filed under: Blackburnia fraterna
Lineage: Eukaryota; Metazoa; Arthropoda; Insecta; Coleoptera; Carabidae
Description: partial 28S ribosomal RNA
Source: RNAcentral
GAUGGUUCGAUUAGUCUUUCGCCCCUAUCCCAGUUCAGGCGAUCGAUUUGCACGUCAGAGUCGCUACGGGCCUCCAUCAGGGUUUCCCCUGACUUCAUCCUGACCAGGCAUAGUUCACCAUCUUUCGGGUCCCAGCGUGUACGCUCUUGGUGCGCCGCAACUUGCAAUAAGUAUGCGACGCCCCGGGAAUGCGAGGUAACAUAAAUAACGUUACCCAUCUUCCCUUUAUAAAAUAUAAUUAUAAAAAUUAUAUAUAUAUAUUUACUUUCAUUACGCCUUUAGGUUUAUUAUAAAUACCCAAUGACGUGCGCACAUGCUAGAUG